CCGCACGCGCGCUACACUGAUGCGUUCAGCGAGUAUACAACCUUGAUCGAUAGGUCUGGGUAAUCUUGUGAAUGCGCAUCGUGCUAGGGAUAGAUUGUUGCAAUUCUCAAUCUUGAACGAGGAAUUCCUAGUAAACGCAAGUCAUCAGCUUGCAUUGAUUACGU
This 164-nucleotide ribosomal RNA is filed under the name uncultured eukaryote. RNAcentral's name for it is "partial 18S ribosomal RNA". It matches the Rfam family "Eukaryotic small subunit ribosomal RNA", at positions 1487 to 1650 of the family's 1831-position model. The record is from RNAcentral.